UGCCAGUAGUCAUAUGCUUGUCUCAAAGACUAAGCCAUGCAUGUCUAAGUAUAAAUGUUAUACAGUGAAACUGCGAAUGGCUCAUUAAAACAGUUAUAGUUUAUUUGAUAAUCGAAUUUACGUGGAUAACCGUGGUAAUUCUAGGGCUAAUACAUGCUGGUUAGCCUGACUUCGAGGAAGGGCUGUAUUUAUUAGAUAACAAACCAAUAUUCCCCGUGUCUAUUGUGAUGACUCAUAAUAACUGAUCGAAUCGCAUGGACUUUGCCCGCGAUACAUCAUUCAAGUUUCUGCCCCAUCAGCUUUCGAUGGUAGUGUAUUGGACUACCAUGGCUUUAACGGGUAACGGAGGAUUAGGGUUCGAUUCCGGAGAGGGAGCCUGAGAAACGGCUACCACAUCUAAGGAAGGCAGCAGGCGCGUAAAUUACCCAAUCCUGACUCAGGGAGGUAGUGACAAGAAAUAACGGACCGAGGCAUCUGCUUCGGGAUUGCAAUGAGUAGAAUUUAAACCCCUUUACGAGGAUCAAUUGGAGGACAAGUCUGGU
RNAcentral lists this ribosomal RNA (542 nucleotides) under uncultured Oligotrichia. RNAcentral's name for it is "SSU rRNA". It matches the Rfam family "Eukaryotic small subunit ribosomal RNA", at positions 15 to 565 of the family's 1831-position model. The record is from RNAcentral. Lineage: Eukaryota; Ciliophora; Spirotrichea.